RNAcentral lists this ribosomal RNA (253 nucleotides) under uncultured bacterium. RNAcentral's name for it is "partial 16S ribosomal RNA". It matches the Rfam family "Bacterial small subunit ribosomal RNA", at positions 524 to 776 of the family's 1533-position model. The record is from RNAcentral.
UACGUAGGGUGCGAGCGUUAAUCGGAAUUACUGGGCGUAAAGCGUGCGCAGGCGGUUCGCUGUGUCCGAUGUGAAAGCCCCGGGCUUAACCUGGGAAUGGCAUUGGAAACUGGCGGGCUUGAGUGCGGCAGAGGGGGGUGGAAUUCCGCGUGUAGCAGUGAAAUGCGUAGAGAUGCGGAGGAACACCGAUGGCGAAGGCAGCCCCCUGGGUCGACACUGACACUGAGAGACGAAAGCUAGGGGAGCAAAUGGG